Molecule: long non-coding RNA, 2138 nt
Filed under: Monomorium pharaonis (pharaoh ant)
Lineage: Eukaryota; Metazoa; Arthropoda; Insecta; Hymenoptera; Formicidae
Description: uncharacterized LOC118645323
Source: RNAcentral
UGGCCCUAAGACGUCAAUGCUGUUAUUGGUUAAGCUCGGGUGAGCGGAGGAGCGCCAAAUCCCCAAGGUAGGUCAUCGAAGACCCAACCUCCCUGCGCUAAGUAAGCCUUAGCUCAUCUUAAAAACUCCCUUUCAAAAAUUAUGGAUAUAAAGUUGCAGUAUACAAGAGUGAAUCAUCAGAAUAAAUGCUAUUAGUCAGUCUUAUUUAAGUACGAGAAAAAUGCUGUUUUAUCCACCUAUCGUCGAAAAAUGGUAUUAGAAAGUAAAUAUGUAAAGGUCCUUGCACAAUACCAGGCAACAGGCAAGAGGAACAGGACAUAAAGAAAGAGAGAGAGAGAUUUUUUCUCUCUUUCAUUAUUUCUAUUCUUAUUACCUGUUGCCUAACAUUAUACAAUUAGAGGCUUAAGGGGAUGCUGGAGAUGUCCUGUUUUAUUGACAAAAAAAAAACAGUAAUUUUUGUAAUGCAAAUCUUUUUACAUACUUUUAUUCUAAAGAAUUUCCAAAUUUGGAAAUUCUUCAGAAUAAAAGUAUAUACACAUUACUACCACGUACCCUACAUAAAGUGUCUUAUUCAAAAAUAGUGUUUCGCAUUCAAGAUUUCGUGAAUAAUUCUGCUUUGCAAAAAUCUCGGAUUGGAUCGUGGUCAAUACUUUUCAGUGCGAUAUUGAAAAUAAAACCAUGAAAUCUUAUAUGCCUCUGAAUCCGAUAACAAUUAGCAGAAGUGAAUCUUUUUCAAUGCGAGGGUUUGCAUUAUUUGAAUGCUUCUUAUUGCGAUUGAAUGCAAAAAAUAUUUAGAAUUAAGUGAAUUCUUUUGAAUGCGAGAGUAAUAUUUGAAAUGAGUUGAAUUCUCAAAAAACAGAAUUCAGAAGAUAUUUAAUUAACUCUGAUUUAAUAUCUUUUGAAUUUUGCUUUUUGCAAAAUAUCAAUAUUUUAAAAUUUUUUUCAAUCCGUUUUAUGCAGAGCAGUCUAUGGGAUGGAGUUUAAUAUAUAUUAAAAAUGGAAAAAAAUUGUUAAUUCGUGAUUAUUUUUUGUCGAGUAUGAUGUUUGCAGAAGUUGUCAUUGUAAAUAUAUGUUUGCUUAUUAAUUAAUAUAAAAGAUUUACAGUUCGUAUACUUAUGAAAUUGAUCAUAUCCAUAGACUAGCAGAUGACAGGCAGUUUUAAAAUUUUGAUUUUGAUGCCUAAUUGAGACGAAAUUAUGCUACGAGAAUUUAUAGAUUACAUACAUAUAUACGCUGAUAAGUAGAGCAGUAUAAAAAAUUUUAAUGUAUGUACUUUAAUUCUGGAAAGAAUUUCCAAAUCCAUAAAAAAAAGACAUACAGAAUCUUAUUAAUUAUUUAUACAAAUAACUCUAUACAUUAUCAACCCCGAUCAAGUUAUUUAAUUGAAACAUUCCAGCAUCAGUAUAAAUAUAAAUAUAUUAUUAGUGCUAUUUCAAAGAUAAACAUUUAACACACAUUUACAAAAUAUGGCAGCGUAGACUAUGGUUUUGAAUAAUAACGGCAUAAUAAUUUCCGUACUCGGACUUGGUAUCUGACAAGUGUACAAUAUAAAAUCUUGUAAUGAAUUCUACUCUCUCAAAGAAACUUGGCUUAUUUGGUUAGAUUGAUUGCCGACAUCGUUUAAAUAAAAAGAAAAAAGUGCCCCAGAAAAAGAAGAUAUCUUUCUUGAAAUUAAUUUUCGAAUUAUAUUAAGGGGGAGGUUUUUGUCAAAAACUUACUCCCAAAAAAUAUCUUAAUGUUAGACAUGAAACAUUGCUUAUACGCGUUAUACGCUUAAAGUGUAUUGAACAACCAACACAACAUAUAUAUAUAAAGAAUUGAAUGGUUUUUAAUUAUGAGAAACUUUCACGUUUCGCCAUCUGGUGACAACCCAAGAACAUCAAAGAACUCUUCGGACAACUGUGUUUAUAUUUUUGAGUAACUAAUAUACUCAUUUGUUUUCUAUUUUUUACAAAAUGUGAUGAUAAUUUAGGGAUAUCUUUUAGAAAUUAUUUAGAACAAAGAAACGAAAAGAACUAAAUGGAAAUGGAAGAAACUGAUGAAGCUAAGAAUCGUAAAAGUGUGUCGGGAAUUUAGAACACAUCCGACAUCGCGUGAUUUGACAAAUCGCGCCCAAUUGCGCUCCAACAAAAACUAAA